AGAGUUUGAUCCUGGCUCAGAUUGAACGCUGGCGGCAUGCCUAACACAUGCAAGUCGAACGGUAACAGGUCGCUGUGAUCCCUUCGGGGUGAACUUGAUGCUGACGAGUGGCGGACGGGUGAGUAAUGCUUGGGAAUCUGCCCAGUAGUGGGGGACAACACGAGGAAACUCGUGCUAAUACCGCAUACGUUCCCUUGGUUAAUUUCAAGGGAAGAAAGUGGGGGAUCUUCGGACCUCACGCUAUUGGAUGAGCCCAAGUCGGAUUAGCUUGUUGGUGGGGUAACGGCCUACCAAGGCAACGAUCCGUAGCUGGUCUGAGAGGACGAUCAGCCACACUGGGACUGAGACACGGCCCAGACUCCUACGGGAGGCAGCAGUGGGGAAUAUUGGACAAUGGGCGCAAGCCUGAUCCAGCAAUGCCGCGUGUGUGAAGAAGGCCUGCGGGUUGUAAAGCACUUUCAGUAGAGAAGAAAAGCUCAGGGUUAAUAGCCUUGGGUCUUGACGUUACCUACAGAAGAAGCACCGGCUAACUCCGUGCCAGCAGCCGCGGUAAUACGGAGGGUGCGAGCGUUAAUCGGAAUUACUGGGCGUAAAGCGCGCGUAGGCGGCUUGGUCAGUCGAAUGUGAAAGCCCUGGGCUUAACCUGGGAAUUGCAUCCGAUACUGCCGAGCUAGAGUAUGGGAGAGGGAAGUGGAAUUUCCGGUGUAGCGGUGAAAUGCGUAGAUAUCGGAAGGAACACCAGUGGCGAAGGCGACUUCCUGGACCAAUACUGACGCUCAGGUGCGAAAGCGUG
Molecule: ribosomal RNA, 793 nt
Filed under: uncultured sediment bacterium
Lineage: Bacteria
Description: bacterial SSU rRNA
Rfam family: Bacterial small subunit ribosomal RNA
Source: RNAcentral